UCGAAACUCUGGUCAGCCAAAAAGCUAGAAGCCACAUAGAAAAGAAUUUUGAAGAUGGCAAUAAUGCCGAAGAAAGAGGUUGGUUUCACAUGUGAUCGACAAAGUCAUUCAGUUGGUUUCAUUCCUUUGUUAUUCUCAAGGAGAUAAUCCUGUUCUGCCCAUGAAAGGUGUAGAUACAACACUUCACAUUGUGCAAGGAUGUGGACAACAAUGUCCUUCAGUGAUAGUUCAGGUCUGGUGAUACCUUGAGGAAACAACCUCCAUUAUUUUUUGAUGGAAAUGACUAACAGUCAAGUGUGUAGCACAAGUGCUCCAAGAAGAAUAGCGUUAUUGUUUCAAGUAUAUAAGUCUAUGUUUUGACAGUCUGAAACAGAUUCAUAACAGGUUUUUUACCAACUUUCAGUUGGCAUUUCUGAUAGCUCCCUCAAGUAAAGGCACACAAAUACAUACUCAUCUUGUCCUUGAUUGUUUGUGUAAAAAAGAUAUUAUCUUACAUUAUUGCACACUGUAUUUAUUCUUUUUCACAAGUUAGUAGAAGUCAGGGGAAGUAUAUUUACUAUGGGAUUUAUUUCUUGAUCAAACAUCCUGUUAUUCUGUGUAACCUAACUUAUUACCUAAAGGGAAGUCAUUGCAUCUGAGAAUACCACAGAUAUUCUAAGGAUUUUCAACUGGAACAACCUAUCAUUAUUUCAAAAAAGGUACAGAAAAGUCAUAUUUUAAUUGCUAUAACGCUAUUUAAAUGUAAGGAGUUACAGUGCAAUCACUUUUGGGUGAAGAGAAGCAAAAGUUUCUGACCAUCCUGGGUUGUCUUUCAGGACCCAAAAUAUUUUUUGAGGCUUGAAGGAUUUUUAAACCUGAAUUCCUGCCCCGAAUUUAAUUGAUUCCAAUUGCUUUUACAAAUUAUCAUAUAACAUUUACGGGGAAUAUUUAUUUAUGCAAAGUUGUUGUUUUCUUGGCCAUUUACCGUUUGGCUCAAAAAUAUUUCAGUUACAACUGAAGGCCAUUGAUAACAUCAUAGCAGCUUCUCAUAGGAUGUUGGGUGCUAAUCACUCUGCCUACUCACAAGUAAUAAGUUCACUAUCAGUCUACUAGUGAUGCUCUGUUACCCUCUUCAGUUAGAAAUCAUUAACAGAGGCUUUGGUUUGUUUUAAAUUUUGAGCUAGAUGUCCCUAAUUUAGCAGUGUAAGACUAGAGGGAAGGCAACU
This is a long non-coding RNA of Limulus polyphemus (Atlantic horseshoe crab), 1205 nucleotides long. RefSeq lists it as uncharacterized. NCBI's taxonomy places the organism in Eukaryota, Metazoa, Arthropoda, Merostomata, Xiphosura, Limulidae. The transcript has 3 exons. The record is from RefSeq and is a predicted model, not a curated record.